This 73-nucleotide transfer RNA is filed under the name Camelus bactrianus (Bactrian camel). It matches the Rfam family "tRNA". From Rfam's summary of the family: Transfer RNA (tRNA) molecules are approximately 80 nucleotides in length. Their secondary structure includes four short double-helical elements and three loops (D, anti-codon, and T loops). The record is from Rfam by way of RNAcentral. RNAcentral also lists the same sequence under 1 other name. Lineage: Eukaryota; Metazoa; Chordata; Mammalia; Artiodactyla; Camelidae.
GAGGGUAGAGCUCAAGGGGUAGAGUGUAGGCUUAACAUGCACAAGGUCCUGGGUUCAAUCCCCAGUACCUCCA